Molecule: ribosomal RNA, 300 nt
Filed under: uncultured Desulfovibrio sp.
Lineage: Bacteria; Pseudomonadati; Thermodesulfobacteriota; Desulfovibrionia; Desulfovibrionales; Desulfovibrionaceae
Description: bacterial SSU rRNA
Rfam family: Bacterial small subunit ribosomal RNA
Source: RNAcentral
UGUAACCGCUGGCCAGCAGCGGAGUUAAUGCGUGGGGGGCAAGCGGUAGGUGGAAUGAGUGGGCGUAAGUCGCACGCCGGCGGUUUGUUAAGUCAGAUGUGAAAUCCCCUGGCUCAAACUGGGAACUGCAUCUGAUACUGGCAAGCUUGAGUCUCGUAGAGGGGGGUAGAAGUCCAGGUGUAGCGGUGAAAUGCGUAGAGAUCUGGAGGAAUACCGGUGGCGAAGGCGGCCCCCUGGACGAAGACUGACGCUCAGGUGCGAAAGCGUGGGGAGCAAACAGGAUUAGAUACCCCUGUAGUC